This 275-nucleotide ribosomal RNA is filed under the name uncultured prokaryote. RNAcentral describes it as "partial 16S ribosomal RNA". It matches the Rfam family "Bacterial small subunit ribosomal RNA", at positions 524 to 798 of the family's 1533-position model. The record is from RNAcentral.
UACGUAGGGUGCGAGCGUUGUCCGGAAUUACUAGGCGUAAAGGGCAGGCAGGCGGAUCCAUAAGUUUAUCGUUUAAGGCGUCGGCUUAACCGGCGUAGGGCGGUAGAUACUGUGGAUCUGGAAUGCGGUUGGGGAAGACAGAAUUCCUGGUGUAGCGGUGGAAUGCGCAGAGAUCAGGAGGAAUACCGAAGGCGAAGGCAGUCUUCCAAGCCGUUAUUGACGCUCAACUGCGAAGGUGUGGGUAUCAAACAGGAUUAGAUACCCUGGUAGUCCCU